RNAcentral lists this ribosomal RNA (297 nucleotides) under Triticum aestivum (bread wheat). RNAcentral describes it as "partial small subunit ribosomal RNA". Lineage: Eukaryota; Viridiplantae; Streptophyta; Magnoliopsida; Poales; Poaceae. The record is from RNAcentral.
AUGCAUACCCAAGUCAAGCUUGUGGUCAUGAUGAAGGUGCUGAUCUGGGUUUCCUAUCUUCAGAAAGCCCAGCCCCAGCAGCAGCGGCUGUGCCGGCGAGCAGGGCAGCAGCGUUGCCUCCAGCGCCAGCAUCGAGGAGCCUUACCCCGCCCCCACGCCAUGGACUCGUGCGCGGCAAGAAGCACGCCAACGAGACCAAGAAGGUGGCCAUGGCUGGGCUCGUUCACCAUUCGUUCAACUUCAGAGCUCAUCAGGUUGAAGGCGCUAAGGUGUUGGAGAUGUGCCUGUACUUGUUGA